Molecule: ribosomal RNA, 207 nt
Filed under: uncultured bacterium
Lineage: Bacteria
Description: partial 16S ribosomal RNA
Rfam family: Bacterial small subunit ribosomal RNA
Source: RNAcentral
CGUGCAGGCGGUUUGGUAAGUCGGACGUAAAAGCUCCUGGCUCAACUAGGAGAGGCCGUUCGAUACUGCCAGGCUAGAGGGCAGCAGAGGGAGGUGGAAUUCCGGGUGUAGCGGUGAAAUGCGUAGAUAUCCGGAGGAACACCAGUGGCGAAGGCGGCCUCCUGGACUGUCCCUGACGCUAAGACGCGAAAGCUAGGGGAGCGAACG